This 163-nucleotide small nuclear RNA is filed under the name Thelazia callipaeda (thelaziosis nematode). RNAcentral's name for it is "U1 spliceosomal RNA". It matches the Rfam family "U1 spliceosomal RNA". Rfam says of the family: U1 is a small nuclear RNA (snRNA) component of the spliceosome (involved in pre-mRNA splicing). Its 5' end forms complementary base pairs with the 5' splice junction, thus defining the 5' donor site of an intron. Lineage: Eukaryota; Metazoa; Nematoda; Chromadorea; Rhabditida; Thelaziidae. The record is from Rfam by way of RNAcentral.
AAACUUACCUGGCUGGGAUAGUUCCUCGGUCAAGAGGGAGGAACAUCCAUGGUGAGACUGGUCCAUUGCACUACAGGGCGAGUUGACCCGUGUGGCUGUCUCGAAUGGAGACACGCCAACAGCAAAAUUUUUGCGUGUGGGGACGGCGUACGCGCCUCCCCAA